This 644-nucleotide long non-coding RNA is filed under the name Vitis vinifera (wine grape). RNAcentral describes it as "long non-coding RNA (VVIN_LNC004793)". The record is from RNAcentral. Lineage: Eukaryota; Viridiplantae; Streptophyta; Magnoliopsida; Vitales; Vitaceae.
AGGGAAUGGAGGGAGUGGAAAUGGGAAAGCUGGUGGUGGGGGUGAGGGAGUCAAGCCUGGUAUGGGUGGGAGGUUAAUCAAUGGAGGUGGAGACUGAAAGGGGUUGGGAGGAAGGAGGGGAGGAGGCUGAAAUGGGUUGGGGGGCAAUGGAACAAUGGAGGCAGGAGGAGGCGAUGGUAUGAGUGGAGGGAAGAAAAACUCAGGAUGGGCUGGUUUUUGAUUCAGCAGUUGAGGUGCAUUCAUGGAGGAUUGAGGUAGUUUGGACUGGGGUUUAGGUGGAAACUUUGGUAGGCCAGGGAGGGGUGGGAGUGGUGGAAGCGUGGGAAGUAGAGGAAGCGGUGGGAAAUAGUACUGAUUUGUGGGUGGAAGGUCUGGGGUUUGAAUUGGUGGUGGGAAUUGGAUUGGAUCAUUAGGAGGAUAUAAAGAUUUUAUGGAACCCAGUUGCUUUGAGUUUCCCACGCUUGGUUUCUGGUUACACAGAUAUGGUUGUUUAAGAGGCUUGAAUGAGAAAAACCCUGCUGAGAAUAUGUGAAUUCCCUGCUUUCUUGAUUUGAGGCGGAGUGAAGAUGAAGUAGCUGUGGAGGCCACAGAACAGUAGGGCUCGCUGCUACUGAUCAGUCUCACGGAACACCUCUUGAUUUUCC